CCUACGGGUGGCAGCAGUGGGGAAUAUUGGACAAUGGGGGCAACCCUGAUCCAGCCAUGCCGCGUGUGUGAAGAAGGCCCUCGGGUUGUAAAGCACUUUCAGUGAGGAAGAACGCCUGGUGGUUAAUACCCAUCAGGAAAGACAUCACUCACAGAAGAAGCACCGGCUAACUCCGUGCCAGCAGCCGCGGUAAUACGGAGGGUGCGAGCGUUAAUCGGAAUUACUGGGCGUAAAGCACGCGUAGGUGGCUUGAUAAGCCGGUUGUGAAAGCCCCGGGCUCAACCUGGGAACGGCAUCCGGAACUGUCAAGCUAGAGUGCAGGAGAGGAAGGUAGAAUUCCCGGUGUAGCGGUGAAAUGCGUAGAGAUCGGGAGGAAUACCAGUGGCGAAGGCGGCCUUCUGGACUGACACUGACACUGAGGUGCGAAAGCGUGGGUAGCAAACAGGAUUAGAUACCCUUGUAGUC
This 465-nucleotide ribosomal RNA is filed under the name Vreelandella stevensii. RNAcentral describes it as "partial 16S ribosomal RNA". It matches the Rfam family "Bacterial small subunit ribosomal RNA", at positions 338 to 795 of the family's 1533-position model. Lineage: Bacteria; Pseudomonadati; Pseudomonadota; Gammaproteobacteria; Oceanospirillales; Halomonadaceae. The record is from RNAcentral.